RNAcentral lists this ribosomal RNA (865 nucleotides) under uncultured Bacillus sp. RNAcentral's name for it is "bacterial SSU rRNA". It matches the Rfam family "Bacterial small subunit ribosomal RNA", at positions 33 to 879 of the family's 1533-position model. The record is from RNAcentral. Lineage: Bacteria; Bacillati; Bacillota; Bacilli; Caryophanales; Bacillaceae.
ACGCUGGGGGGGUGCCUUAAUACAUGCAAGUCGAGCGGACAGAAGGGAGCUUGCUCCCGGAUGUUAGCGGCGGACGGGUGAGUAACACGUGGGUAACCUGCCUGUAAGACUGGGAUAACUCCGGGAAACCGGAGCUAAUACCGGAUAGUUCCUUGAACCGCAUGGUUCAAGGAUGAAAGACGGUUUCGGCUGUCACUUACAGAUGGACCCGCGGCGCAUUAGCUAGUUGGUGGGGUAAUGGCUCACCAAGGCGACGAUGCGUAGCCGACCUGAGAGGGUGAUCGGCCACACUGGGACUGAGACACGGCCCAGACUCCUACGGGAGGCAGCAGUAGGGAAUCUUCCGCAAUGGACGAAAGUCUGACGGAGCAACGCCGCGUGAGUGAUGAAGGUUUUCGGAUCGUAAAGCUCUGUUGUUAGGGAAGAACAAGUGCGAGAGUAACUGCUCGCACCUUGACUGUACCUAGCGAGAAAGCCACGGCUAACUACUUGCCAGCAGCCGCGGUAAUACUUAGGUGGCAAGCGUUGUCCGGAAUUAUUGGGCGUAAAGGGCUCGCAGGCGGUUUCUUAAGUCUGAUGUGAAAGCCCCCGGCUCAACCGGGGAGGGUCAUUGGAAACUGGGAAACUUGAGUGCAGAAGAGGAGAGUGGAAUUCCACGUGUAGCGGUGAAAUGCGUAGAGAUGUGGAGGAACACCAGUGGCGAAGGCGACUCUCUGGUCUGUAACUGACGCUGAGGAGCGAAAGCGUGGGGAGCGAACAGGAUUAGAUACCCUGGUAGUCCACGCCGUAAACGAUGAGUGCUAAGUGUUAGGGGGUUUCCGCCCCUUAGUGCUGCAGCUAACGCAUUAAGCACUCCGCCCUGGGA